Molecule: ribosomal RNA, 499 nt
Filed under: uncultured Glomus
Lineage: Eukaryota; Fungi; Glomeromycota; Glomeromycetes; Glomerales; Glomeraceae
Also listed under: 1 other name
Description: SSU rRNA
Rfam family: Eukaryotic small subunit ribosomal RNA
Source: RNAcentral
CCAAUAGCGUAUAUUAAAGUUGUUGCAGUUAAAAAGCUCGUAGUUGAAUUUCGGGAUCAAGGAAUCGGUCAUGCCUUGGUAUGUACUGGUUUUAUUGGUUCUCACCUUCUAAAGAACCAUAAUGUCAUUUAUUUGAUGUUAUGGGGAAUUAGGACUGUUACCUUGAAAAAAUUAGAGUGUUUAAAGCAAGCUUACGCUUGAAUACAUUAGCAUGGAAUAAUGAAAUAGGACAUCAGAUUCUAUUUUGUUGGUUUCUAGGAUCGAUGUAAUGAUUAAUAGGGAUAGUUGGGGGCAUUAGUAUUCAAUUGUCAGAGGUGAAAUUCUUGGAUUUAUUGAAGACUAACUACUGCGAAAGCAUUUGCCAAGGAUGUUUUCAUUAAUCAAGAACGAAAGUUAGGGGAUCGAAGACGAUCAGAUACCGUCGUAGUCUUAACCAUAAACUAUGCCGACUAGGGAUCGGAUGAUGUUAAUUUUAUAAUGACUCAUUCGGCACCUUACG